GCCUAUAUCUUCUAUCUUCUUUGUUUUUUUGUCGUUCUUUCUUUUUUCUUUGUUUGUCUCCGGCAAAUCUCCUCCCCACCGCCGCCGCCGGAAGAUGGAGAAAUGCAGGAGUCUCCACCGCCACGACCGAAGACGACGAUUGCAGUGGGUAAAACGACGUUGUUGACGGGAAAACGAGAUGUGGGACUGCCGUCAAUCCCAGCUUCAACAGCGAAAUCGGCGGUCCAAUCGGUCGCCGGCCUUUACUCCAAUCUCUCUGCCAAUUUCUCCACCAUCGUUCACUAGCGGCUCUUUGUUGGAAAAUGAACCUCGAGUAAUUUCCUCUCUCAAUUCUGUCUUAAAAAUAAUUAGACUUCAGCCAUGGAUGUUUCUAAAUAAAUUUUUGAGUUUCUGGGAAUUGUUGGUUGAUUUGUUAGUGAGUUUGCGGUGGCGGUGGAAUUUUGAUAUUAAUUGCUAAUAGCAUGGUGCUUAUGCUUCGGAUUUUUGUUUAUCUUCGUGCUUAUGGUUUUAUAGAGGUUUCUUCCACAACUAUAAAUCCUUGUCAUCAAUAUUAAUAGAUAGAUGGAGAUUUUCUCACUACAAAAGUUUCAAUUAAGUUGGGAUUUAUGAUUUAUAUUCUUUUUUUUUGUGGGUGAAGUAAUGCGUUCAAAUCGAAUACGCAUACUUUCGGUUUUCGGAUCAAAUUUGUGUACAUUUCGUCUUUCUUGAAUUGUGUGAACAAAGAAGACAUUAAUGAACAUAAUUUUUUUCUUGCUUCUUGUUAAGUUAAUUUCUAGACGGUGGAUCUAGUGCGGAGAUCGAGGAAAAAAAAAUCGACGAACCGUGGCGGAAAUUUUCUGGUAUGGGGCAGAUUUCGAGGUUAAUCGACUAUGUGUUUGGGUAGUCGAUUAAGCUAAUCGACUAUGCUCUGGCAGUCAAUUAAGGUUGAUCGACU
Molecule: long non-coding RNA, 934 nt
Filed under: Erythranthe guttata (spotted monkey flower)
Lineage: Eukaryota; Viridiplantae; Streptophyta; Magnoliopsida; Lamiales; Phrymaceae
Description: long non-coding RNA (EGUT_LNC000311)
Source: RNAcentral